RNAcentral lists this ribosomal RNA (279 nucleotides) under uncultured bacterium. RNAcentral's name for it is "partial 16S ribosomal RNA". It matches the Rfam family "Bacterial small subunit ribosomal RNA", at positions 506 to 784 of the family's 1533-position model. The record is from RNAcentral.
UGCCAGCCGCCGCGGUAAUACGAAGGGGGCUAGCGUUGUUCGGAAUCAUUGGGCGUAAAGGGCACGCAGGCGGUUAUGCAAGCCUGGUGUGAAAGACCGCAGCUCAACUGCGGGAACGCGCUGGGAACUGUAUGACUGGAGUUCAAGAGGGGAAGCUGGAAUUCCUGGUGUAGGGGUGAAAUCUGUAGAUAUCAGGAAGAACAUCAGUGGCGAAGGCGAGCUUCUGGCUAUGAACUGACGCUGAGGCGCGAAAGCGUGGGGAGCAAACAGGAUUAGAUA